Molecule: ribosomal RNA, 253 nt
Filed under: uncultured bacterium
Lineage: Bacteria
Description: partial 16S ribosomal RNA
Rfam family: Bacterial small subunit ribosomal RNA
Source: RNAcentral
GACGUAGGGCGCGAGCGUUGUCCGGAUUUAUUGGGCGUAAAGAGCUCGUAGGCGGUUUGUCGCGUCGUCUGUGAAAACCCACGGCUCAACUGUGGGCUUGCAGUCGAUACGGGCAGGCUAGAGUUCGGUAGGGGAGACUGGAAUUCCUGGUGUAGCGGUGAAAUGCGCAGAUAUCAGGAGGAACACCGGUGGCGAAGGCGGGUCUCUGGGCCGAUACUGACGCUGAGGUGCGAAAGCGUGGGGAGCAAACAGG